This 630-nucleotide ribosomal RNA is filed under the name Escherichia coli. RNAcentral describes it as "partial 23S ribosomal RNA". It matches the Rfam family "Bacterial large subunit ribosomal RNA", at positions 2292 to 2916 of the family's 2925-position model. The record is from RNAcentral. Lineage: Bacteria; Pseudomonadati; Pseudomonadota; Gammaproteobacteria; Enterobacterales; Enterobacteriaceae.
AAAGAGUAACGGAGGAGCACGAAGGUUGGCUAAUCCUGGUCGGACAUCAGGAGGUUAGUGCAAUGGCAUAAGCCAGCUUGACUGCGAGCGUGACGGCGCGAGCAGGUGCGAAAGCAGGUCAUAGUGAUCCGGUGGUUCUGAAUGGAAGGGCCAUCGCUCAACGGAUAAAAGGUACUCCGGGGAUAACAGGCUGAUACCGCCCAAGAGUUCAUAUCGACGGCGGUGUUUGGCACCUCGAUGUCGGCUCAUCACAUCCUGGGGCUGAAGUAGGUCCCAAGGGUAUGGCUGUUCGCCAUUUAAAGUGGUACGCGAGCUGGGUUUAGAACGUCGUGAGACAGUUCGGUCCCUAUCUGCCGUGGGCGCUGGAGAACUGAGGGGGGCUGCUCCUAGUACGAGAGGACCGGAGUGGACGCAUCACUGGUGUUCGGGUUGUCAUGCCAAUGGCACUGCCCGGUAGCUAAAUGCGGAAGAGAUAAGUGCUGAAAGCAUCUAAGCACGAAACUUGCCCCGAGAUGAGUUCUCCCUGACUCCCUGAGAGUCCUGAAGGAACGUUGAAGACGACGACGUUGAUAGGCCGGGUGUGUAAGCGCAGCGAUGCGUUGAGCUAACCGGUACUAAUGAACCGUGAGG